CUUUGUUGUUUUGUUGUGACCGAUCGCUAUUUCUAUUGUCUCUCUUGUUAAUCACUCUCUCUCUUCACUCCUGUACCAAACACUCUCCUUCACUUCUAUAAGCUGGUGAAGAAGAUGCAAUAUGCAUUCAUUUAUAUUUAUGACUACGUACUAUACUCUAUUACACAUGUUAGGGCGGUUAUAUAGUUCGUCAUUUAUUAUUUAUAAUUUAAAUUUCAUAUUAUUUUAUUAGUAUUUUAAUAUUCAUGAAUUAAAGUUUAAUUAAGGUUCUAAACACAAACGCACUACACUACAUACUAUCAUCACAAACAUUCCCGCCAUCUAUUCACAAAUAUGCAGCCCAAAGUCACGUUGUACAUGCAUCACCGGUGGAAGUUCGUGGAGCAGCGCGGAAUCAAAUUCUUUUUAUCGUAGGUAAGGUCGAGAACGUUUUCAAUCAAAAGUUAAAUGUGUUAUCUAUUCCCAUGCUUAGAAAAUACGUUCGAAGUGAUCUUGGUUACAUAGGGUUUAAACUUUACUGGCACAAGAGUGGUUUUUUGUUUAACGAUGUUAAUUGUUAAUUGCUCUGGGAUGAUAGUGGUAUAUAGGAGCUGAAAAAACUUGCGCUUGAGUCUGGUAGAAUAGAUGUGUAUGUUGAUCAUGCCUCUGAUGGUGAUGAGUAGAGGAGAGUGCUGGAGAGAGUGAGAAAGAUGAUGGGAGGGAGGAGAGUGCUGGAGAGGGUGAAAAAAAUGAUGGAAGUGAAGAUAGUGAUGAUGAAGAGAGUGAGAAUGUUGAUGGGAGUCAAGAGAGUGUAGAGGAAGACAGUGAUGGGAGUGAAGAUUAUCAUGUGUAUGGCAGUGACUGUGAUGAUGAAUGGGAAAAAGGGCAGACCAUCAAAAGUAAAAAAUGUGCAGGUAAUGGAACCACCAGCAAAGGUACUACCAGUUAGUGUUGAUGUGUACACAAGUACUAAAGAUGGAAAUACAUACUUCUUAAGUGUUGGUGGGUCCACAGUUAAAAUUUCAAGUUCAAAGCCACCACCACCCAAGCCA
RNAcentral lists this long non-coding RNA (1031 nucleotides) under Daucus carota (carrot). Its description in RNAcentral is "long non-coding RNA (DCAR_LNC003526)". Lineage: Eukaryota; Viridiplantae; Streptophyta; Magnoliopsida; Apiales; Apiaceae. The record is from RNAcentral.